This is an RNA transcript of Belonocnema kinseyi, 4040 nucleotides long. It is a transcript of the gene named trimethylguanosine synthase, with no coding region annotated. The record is from RefSeq and is a predicted model, not a curated record. The transcript is spliced from 9 exons. NCBI's taxonomy places the organism in Eukaryota, Metazoa, Arthropoda, Insecta, Hymenoptera, Cynipidae.
GGUUGGGAGCAUUGAUUCAUGUGCAAAAGAGCCAUUUAAGAAUUAUUCAUUACUGCUGUUUCUGUCAUUGUCGUUUAAAAUUUAUAGUAAAACCUUAAGCUGCACUUUUUGCAUUUUUGCGCGCACGUUUCUAAAAAAAAACAGAAUGAUUGUUAUUUGGAUUUAAAAUUUGUCCUUUCAUAGCGAUUUCUCAUCUACCCGGAAACCUGAAGGACGACCAUUGUUUUCAUUAUGUCUGAUUACUAUUGGGAGCCACUCGCUGAAGUGUACAUUUCAGAACAGACUGAAUUCCCAGAUACGGACACUUACAUUUAUUGUUUAUGCAGUAGAGUUUUUAUUCGAACUCCUGAAAUUUACACCAUUUUCAAUACAGAAGAUGCAAGUGAAGGCGAAUAUAUUGAAGGAGACUGCAUGUGUGAAAUUUUUAAUGCAAAAGAAAAAAUCCCUAUAGAGGUGCAACUUUACCAUCUUGAAAAACACGAGGAGGAACCAGUGAGCUGCUAUUGCAGUGCGUCACAUACAGAUAACAAUUAUUCUACAGAUGAACAUGAUUCAGUUCGUGAUAUAUCACAUCAUCCAUCCGUACAAUCUCUGACUCAAAAAUUUGUUCUGCAUCAAUCAGAUUCUGGUGCAGACUUGUCUGAGUACCACGAUCAACAAGAAGCCAUAAGUAUUCAGAAUAUGUUGGCAUCUUAUGAUAAAACUUUAGAAACUAAUGAAGAACUUAUCGUUGAAACUAAAGAUAAACAUAUUUCUGAUACGAAAAGAGAAAUUAUAGACUUUGAUUUGAAUUUAGACAUAAUAGAUACUAAAGAAACUUUUACGGAAACGUGCACAAACACAUCUUAUAAUUCUCUGUACUCUACAGCGAAUAUAUAUUGUAAUAAGUUUCCAUCUGUGGUAACAAAUUCUAAGGAAUUAAUUUCUAUGAAUAAUCAAUUUUACAAAAGCAACAAGGACUCUCAAGUACAGGAAUGUACCGCAGAUAAUAAAUUCAAUUUUAAUUUUAUAGAAACAGAAGAUUGGGAAUGUAUGGAAAAAUACGGCUCAUCUAAGAAAAGCAAAAUUGAUUUAGCAUGGGAAAGAUAUUGGUCGAAGUAUGGAGAAUGUAUAUUAUGGACAUCGUGGAUUAACAAGUAUGCAGAUUAUAUAAAUCCUAGUUACUUACAAGAAAAUCCUUGUUUAUUAGAAAAAGGUGCAGAAUGCGUGGAAGAAAUUGCACAACUUUCCGAGGUAUUUCCUGAACAAAACACUUGUUUUCCGACUGAAGCGCACAUAAAUUGUACAAUCGGUCGAUCAAAUUUCGAAGGGAUCUUUGGAAAAACCGAAGUCAAUAUGUACGAUUUUCCAAAACAGGACUCAACCAGCACAAUUAUCUUUUCUUUCCAAAAUUCAAAUAAGGACUAUGUCAACGAUAAAGAGGCUGAAGAUAAUAGGAAAAGAAUAGGGAAUCAACUGUCGCCACAACAUGGUGAAAGCUGGAAUCCUUUAAGUUCAUUCAACGUAGAAGAAAGUUACAAUCAACCUUCCAACGCCGAUGACGAGAAACUUCUUACAAGGUGCGAUUCAGCUAAUGGGUCAAUUGCAAGAACUAAUGCUACUUCGGAUUCUAUGACAAAUGUUACUAAAAUGACACUGACAAGUUCAAGUUGUGAUUCUACGUCAAUCCAGUCUAGUCUCGUCAGCUCAAUGACCAGUUCUAAUGAAAGUAAUGUGACUGGUAGCAAUUCAGAUCCAGACAAUGAAUACGCACCUGAGGAUAAUGAUAAAUAUUGGCAAGAUUUGUGGAAAGAAAAUUUUCAUGAACAGUAUCAAAAACACUAUGCGCAAUUCAAAAUAAAUUAUAAGCUGAAAAAAGAACAAAUCAGCAUUGACUCUAAUUCUCAUUUAGAUAAUGCACAUCUUUCAUCGAGAGGGUUUAAACCCAAAGAGGAUGAUAAUUGUAGAUAUUCUAAAAACAAUAAAAGUUUAGGAAAUAUUAAUUUAAUCGAUAACAAAUCGGAGGUUGUAGGUAACUUUCAGAAAGAAAACUUCGGGACAAAGAAAAUGAUUAUGGAAUCUGUAGGUUUACUGAUGCAGAAUUUGACGAUGAGUACCCAAGUCGUCAAAGUUAACGGCGUGAUUGAAAACAGUUCAUCAGAAAAUAUCGGCCGAAGUAAAGUACCAGAAGAUGGAUAUAAUACAAUUCAUUUCGAUAUUUUGGGCUUGGAUAUCAAGAGUGAUAUGAACAAAACGUCCCCUAACUCUGAAUUUAAACAAAAACAACUUAAGGAUAAACCGUCUACUCUAAAACGCAGUCAUGAUGCAGACGGUGAUCUAGAGGGCUUAGUAAAUGUGAAGAAAGCAUUUUUACUAAUGGGAUAUACUUUUAAUGAAAAUUAUGAAGGACAAAAACUGCAAGGAGAAGUUGUGUACAGGAAACGUAAUAUCAAAUUGCAAAAUAGGCAAUUAAAAAUGAAAUUCAGUCGACCAAAACCUGUUAACAAGCACAUAUAUUUUAACGAAAAUGGUGAAGAAAUUAUAUAUACACAGAAGAAGGUAAACUUAAUCUUAUCUCAAUGCUCAACGAAGCACACGGUUGAUGUGGAAAUUCAACCAACGGGAAAAAUUUCCUUGACCAACACACCAUUUACUUCUAGUUCCGACGAAGAGUGUGCUUCUACACUCAAAACAAAAAUGAAUGAGAAACGUUUUGCAGUUAAUAAAUCCAUUACAAGUUCAUCGGGAUCGAAACUUAUUAGAGAUGAUACUAAUGACAAUAGCACGUUAUUCGUUGAAAAAAGUUCGAACGCAGAUUUUUUAGACACAGAUAUAGGUAGUGGUGUUAAUAUCAUUCAUAUAAUAAAUGAUACUAAUAUUCAUCCUACUGACCACAAUUCAAUAUCCGAAACCGAAAUAAUAUCUGAAGCUAACCAGAUUCCAAUGACUGUUGACUGUAAAACUGAUAUGGAGGAUGUCUUGGGAACAAAGUUGGCGGAUGAAGAUAGUGUUAAGAAAAUUCAGAGAAAGAAGAAAAGAAAGCAAAAUAAGAGGAAUAUUAAUCUCCCAGCCGAAGUGGAUGGCGAUAAAACAUUAGUAAAAUAUUGGUUCAAAAGAUACCGAUUGUUCAGUAAAUUUGACCAGGGAAUAAAAUUAGACCGAGAGAGCUGGUUUUCUGUUACACCAGAAAAGAUAGCACAGCAUAUCGCAGAAAGAUGUAAAUGCGAUAUGAUUGUGGAUGCAUUUUGUGGCGCUGGAGGAAAUGCUAUUCAAUUUGCAUAUACAUGUGAACGAGUUCUGGCUAUAGAUAUUGACCCGUUGAAAAUCGAGAUGGCUCGACAUAACGCUAGAGUGUAUGGAGUAGAGGACAGAAUAGAAUUUGUCGUCGGAGAUUUCUUCAAACUGGCACCUAAGCUAUUCGCAGACGUUGUAUUUUUGAGUCCACCGUGGGGAGGACCCAACUACGCUAGAAAUGAUACCUUGGAUCUCAAUAGCCUUAUGUUACCUAAAGGAGGGACAGAAUUGUUUAAUGUUGCAAAGCGUAUUACGAAUCACAUCGCAUACUUUCUACCCAGGAAUGUGGACUCUGUGCAGUCACCGCAGACUUCCACUUGGAACAGCUUCCAUUCAUGGAAGUGACAGCAGACAUCAGUAAAACCUCGGUAAAUCACACCUGUGGCCACGCCUCCCGACCGUGAGAUGAUUGACUACAGGGCUUGGCGAAAUCACAAAUACGGGCUGACUAAACCGUUGUGAUUCUUGAGAGCACGGAGCGACCCAAGGGUGACAUCCAUUUGCAUCCAUCUCGCAAGUGCAUCGGCAAGUUUUUGGCACGUGGGUAUGGCUUUGAGGUUACGAUCCAGUGAUAGCUUUGCACUUCCGAGAUCACCGAUCACGAGGAUAAUAGUUUUAACCGAAUUCUCUCGGUCCAGUUGCACCUCUGUACCUGGACUUGCAAUGCUAGGUGGGAUUGGAUCUGCAGUGGAAGUCGAACAGAACUUUCUUGAUAGGAAGUUAAUAGCACUAACUGCUUACUACGGAGAACUGCCUCGAGAAUGCUG